UCAAGAGCAAGGUAACUCAACCGACUGAGCCACCCAGGUGCCCCAACAAUUAUUAUUUUUUAAAAGCUAAUUUGUUAAGGAAAGUGUAGUAUGUGAUUGUUUUAAUUAGUGAAUCUUUGAUUAUUAGUGAGUUAAACAUUUUUGCACUGUUUAUCAGGUUUGGCUUUCAUUUUUUAUCUAACCCAAAUUGUUUGUUUUGUUUUAGGUCUCUUCUGGUUAAAAUGUCUAUGAUUUUAUCUGCGUCAGUCAUUCGUGUCAGAGAUGGGCUGCCACUUUCUGCUUCUACUGACUAUGAGCAAGGCACAGGCGUGCAGGAGUGCAGAAAGUAUUUUAAAAUGCUCUCGAAGAAACUUGCUCAGCUUCCUGAUAGAUGUACACUGAAAACUGGACAUUAUAACAUCAAUUUUAUUAGCUCACUG
Molecule: long non-coding RNA, 419 nt
Organism: Ailuropoda melanoleuca (giant panda)
Lineage: Eukaryota; Metazoa; Chordata; Mammalia; Carnivora; Ursidae
Exons: 3
Source: RefSeq, a predicted model, not a curated record